This 1372-nucleotide ribosomal RNA is filed under the name uncultured bacterium. RNAcentral describes it as "bacterial SSU rRNA". It matches the Rfam family "Bacterial small subunit ribosomal RNA", at positions 28 to 1381 of the family's 1533-position model. The record is from RNAcentral.
GAUGAACGCUGGCGGCGUGCCUAAUACAUGCAAGUCGAGCGAACGGACGAGAAGCUUGCUUCUCUGAUGUUAGCGGCGGACGGGUGAGUAACACGUGGAUAACCUACCUAUAAGACUGGGAUAACUUCGGGAAACCGGAGCUAAUACCGGAUGAUAUUUUGAACCGCAUGGUUCAAAAGUGAAAGACGGUCUUGCUGUCACUUAUAGAUGGAUCCGCGCUGCAUUAGCUAGUUGGUAAGGUAACGGCUUACCAAGGCAACGAUGCGUAGCCGACCUGAGAGGGUGAUCGGCCACACUGGAACUGAGACACGGUCCAGACUCCUACGGGAGGCAGCAGUAGGGAAUCUUCCGCAAUGGGCGAAAGCCUGACGGAGCAACGCCGCGUGAGUGAUGAAGGUCUUCGGAUCGUAAAACUCUGUUAUUAGGGAAGAACAUAUGUGUAAGUAACUGUGCACAUCUUGACGGUACCUAAUCAGAAAGCCACGGCUAACUACGUGCCAGCAGCCGCGGUAAUACGUAGGUGGCAAGCGUUAUCCGGAAUUAUUGGGCGUAAAGCGCGCGUAGGCGGUUUUUUAAGUCUGAUGUGAAAGCCCACGGCUCAACCGUGGAGGGUCAUUGGAAACUGGAAAACUUGAGUGCAGAAGAGGAAAGUGGAAUUCCAUGUGUAGCGGUGAAAUGCGCAGAGAUAUGGAGGAACACCAGUGGCGAAGGCGACUUUCUGGUCUGUAACUGACGCUGAUGUGCGAAAGCGUGGGGAUCAAACAGGAUUAGAUACCCUGGUAGUCCACGCCGUAAACGAUGAGUGCUAAGUGUUAGGGGGUUUCCGCCCCUUAGUGCUGCAGCUAACGCAUUAAGCACUCCGCCUGGGGAGUACGACCGCAAGGUUGAAACUCAAAGGAAUUGACGGGGACCCGCACAAGCGGUGGAGCAUGUGGUUUAAUUCGAAGCAACGCGAAGAACCUUACCAAAUCUUGACAUCCUUUGACAACUCUAGAGAUAGAGCCUUCCCCUUCGGGGGACAAAGUGACAGGUGGUGCAUGGUUGUCGUCAGCUCGUGUCGUGAGAUGUUGGGUUAAGUCCUGCAACGAGCGCAACCCUUAAGCUUAGUUGCCAUCAUUAAGUUGGGCACUCUAAGUUGACUGCCGGUGACAAACCGGAGGAAGGUGGGGAUGACGUCAAAUCAUCAUGCCCCUUAUGAUUUGGGCUACACACGUGCUACAAUGGACAAUACAAAGGGCAGCGAAACCGCGAGGUCAAGCAAAUCCCAUAAAGUUGUUCUCAGUUCGGAUUGUAGUCUGCAACUCGACUACAUGAAGCUGGAAUCGCUAGUAAUCGUAGAUCAGCAUGCUACGGUGAAUACGUUCCCGGGUCU